This 402-nucleotide ribosomal RNA is filed under the name uncultured Hyphomicrobium sp. Its description in RNAcentral is "bacterial SSU rRNA". It matches the Rfam family "Bacterial small subunit ribosomal RNA", at positions 355 to 774 of the family's 1533-position model. The record is from RNAcentral. Lineage: Bacteria; Pseudomonadati; Pseudomonadota; Alphaproteobacteria; Hyphomicrobiales; Hyphomicrobiaceae.
UGGGGAAUAUUGGACAAUGGGCGAAAGCCUGAUCCAGCCAUGCCGCGUGAGUGAUGAAGGCCUUAGGGUUGUAAAGCUCUUUUGCCGGGGACGAUAAUGACGGUACCCGGAGAAUAAGUCCCGGCUAACUUCGUGCCAGCAGCCGCGGUAAUACGAAGGGGACUAGCGUUGUUCGGAAUUACUGGGCGUAAAGCGCACGUAGGCGGAUUUGUAAGUCAGGGGUGAAAUCCCGGGGCUCAACCUCGGAACUGCCUUUGAUACUGUGAAUCUUGAGUCCGAUAGAGGUGGGUGGAAUUCCUAGUGUAGAGGUGAAAUUCGUAGAUAUUAGGAAGAACACCAGUGGCGAAGGCGGCCCACUGGAUCGGUACUGACGCUGAGGUGCGAAAGCGUGGGGAGCAAACA